AUACGCAAACGGUUUGCCGGUUAUGUCCUGUAACUGGUAAUUAAAAGGGAAUCGCGUGUGAAUCGCGAACUAUACCCGUAGCUGUGUGCUCCUCUCUAAUCGUUGGAUCAUAUUGGAUUGUAAACGAUUGAGAAACGAACUGAACAACCCUCAUGCCACUGGAAUUUCCGGGAAGGCGUUCAGGAUCGGGAGCGAGUCAGAAGACCUGCCGGAUGUGUGCAAUUUCC
This 227-nucleotide non-coding RNA is filed under the name Paludibacter sp. The record is from RNAcentral. Lineage: Bacteria; Pseudomonadati; Bacteroidota; Bacteroidia; Bacteroidales; Paludibacteraceae.